This 445-nucleotide ribosomal RNA is filed under the name uncultured bacterium. Its description in RNAcentral is "partial 16S ribosomal RNA". It matches the Rfam family "Bacterial small subunit ribosomal RNA", at positions 354 to 796 of the family's 1533-position model. The record is from RNAcentral.
GUGAGGAAUAUUGGUCAAUGGGCGAGAGCCUGAACCAGCCAAGUCGCGUGAAGGAAGAAGGAUCUAUGGUUCGUAAACUUCUUUUGCAGGGGAAUAAAGUGCGGGACGUGUCCUGUUUUGUAUGUACCCUGAGAAUAAGGAUCGGCUAACUCCGUGCCAGCAGCCGCGGUAAUACGGAGGAUCCGAGCGUUAUCUGGAUUUAUUGGGUUUAAAGGGUGCGUAGGUGGUUUGAUAAGUCAGCGGUGAAAGUUUGCAGCUUAACUGUAAAAAUGCCGUUGAAACUGUCGGACUUGAGUGUAAAUGAGGUAGGCGGAAUGCGUGGUGUAGCGGUGAAAUGCAUAGAUAUCACGCAGAACUCCGAUUGCGAAGGCAGCUUACUAAGCUACAACUGACACUGAAGCACGAAAGCGUGGGGAUCAAACAGGAUUAGAUACCCCUGUAGUCC